Dermochelys coriacea (leatherback sea turtle) is the source of this 413-nucleotide long non-coding RNA. RefSeq lists it as uncharacterized. The transcript has 3 exons. Lineage: Eukaryota; Metazoa; Chordata; Testudines; Dermochelyidae. The record is from RefSeq and is a predicted model, not a curated record.
CCACCCCACUUCGCUAGAUCCUUUCUGGGCUUCACAAUGGAGGGGAGCAAAAGGGCCUGUGCAAAGCCAAACGUUAUGAUGGGAUGCAGCUACCGUCCAACCCUCCCUAAAGCUGUUAACUGGUCUAGACUGAGGUGCUGGAAUGUGAAGGUGAAGAAGGGAGCCGGUACAGCAGCAUGCAAGCAUCCUCAUACUGAGUCUCCAAGUGUGCCACAAACUUGUUCUGGAGAGACCAUCCCUAAAUUUAAUCUAGUUUAAUCUCUAUGACCAUUCAGUUCUUGUCUUCUAUGGCUUCUACUAUCAAUAAAGCAUAAUUUGGCACAAUUUGUGAUAAUGUUUUUGUUGAUGUUUUUAAAUAACCAGAGCUACUGCUAGAAAAUUUGGCUAGUGCUACAAAAGUCAUUGGGGAAGGU